GUAACGGCGAGUGAAGCGGCAACAGCUCAAAUUUGAAAUCUGGCCCUUGUGGUCCGAGUUGUAAUUUGUAGAGGAUGCUUUUGGUGAGGUGCCUUCCGAGUUCCCUGGAACGGGACGCCAUAGAGGGUGAGAGCCCCGUCUGGUUGGACACCGAGCCUCUGUAAAGCUCCUUCGACGAGUCGAGUAGUUUGGGAAUGCUGCUCUAAAUGGGAGGUAUAUGUCUUCUAAAGCUAAAUACCGGCCAGAGACCGAUAGCGCACAAGUAGAGUGAUCGAAAGAUGAAAAGCACUUUGAAAAGAGGGUUAAAUAGUACGUGAAAUUGUUGAAAGGGAAGCGCUUGUGACCAGACUUGAGCCCGGUUAAUCAUCCAGCCUUCUGGCUGGUGCACUUGGCCGGCUCAGGCCAGCAUCAGUUCGGCGCGGGGGAUAAAGGCUUCGGGAAUGUGGCUCCUCCGGGAGUGUUAUAGCCCGUUGUGUAAUACCCUGCGCUGGACUGAGGUUCGCGCAUCUGCAAGGA
This 516-nucleotide ribosomal RNA is filed under the name uncultured Cosmospora. Its description in RNAcentral is "eukaryotic LSU rRNA". It matches the Rfam family "Eukaryotic large subunit ribosomal RNA", at positions 83 to 623 of the family's 3401-position model. Lineage: Eukaryota; Fungi; Ascomycota; Sordariomycetes; Hypocreales; Nectriaceae. The record is from RNAcentral.